GUGUUGUAUGAAAGGAGAGAUGGUUAGCACUCCCCUUGACAAGGAUGGAAGAAGCCCUCGGGCCUGUAUAAUACACGUACCAUUAAGGAAUUGCCACUACUUCCAGGCAACUGACCACCAUUUACA
RNAcentral lists this non-coding RNA (126 nucleotides) under Dasypus novemcinctus (nine-banded armadillo). The record is from RNAcentral. Lineage: Eukaryota; Metazoa; Chordata; Mammalia; Cingulata; Dasypodidae.